This 105-nucleotide microRNA precursor is filed under the name Marmota monax (woodchuck). Lineage: Eukaryota; Metazoa; Chordata; Mammalia; Rodentia; Sciuridae. The record is from RNAcentral.
ACACAAAUUAUUUAGUAUCUUGUUAAAAUGCAGAUUCUGAUUCAGUAGGCCUUGGAUGGGGGCCUGAGUUUUUUCAUUUCUAAUAAGUUCUCAAGUCCUUGCUGC